Molecule: unclassified non-coding RNA, 1377 nt
Filed under: Drosophila yakuba
Lineage: Eukaryota; Metazoa; Arthropoda; Insecta; Diptera; Drosophilidae
Description: GE26453
Source: RNAcentral
CCGGGAAAAGUCGGGCAAAUUUGAAGCGCUCCUCUGUUAUUCACGUUUUUUACGAAAUACUGAGUCCAAAAACCGUUGUUUAUUGGCAGUUCUCAGGUUUUUACGAAAAAGGUGAACAUUGAAUUUAGAAUCCGAAAAUAAGUGAUGUAAAUAUAUUGCAAAAUAUUGGAUCAAGUGUUAAAAAUCAUUUGAGAAACACAAGUUCAAGAACUGUGAGUGCGUGACAUCGUGUGUUUUGGUUUUGGAUACGUUUCAUGAAUGAGCGCGGGUGUGAACGAAUUUUUCGGAGUCAACAACAAACAACGAACGCGAUAAACAGAGGCACACUCACACGACCGCGUUUAAAAAAAAAAAACAGCACUCUCCAUUUACCAAUAAAGAAAUCUUUUGUUUUUGGAAAGCAAAUAGAAAAUACGAAAAUGAAGCGCGGAAAUUGCAGUGCAAAACAAAACAAACGCAUCGUUUGUUGGGCUUGAAUUUCGCACGGUUUUAACACUUCCCAUAAUAAAAAAUAAUCACUCCCCUUCUCCCCUCCCUCGAAAGCUGAAAAGUAAAAAUAAAACUAUGUGCAGAAAAAUAUAUAAAGUUAAAUAGUGCAUAAAAAUCGGUUUUCUUUGCGGUUCGGUUCCGUUUUUGUUUAUUUGUAGUGUGCGUGUGUUUCUGUUUCCCCCUUUCUAUCGCUAUCUCUAUCUCUAACCCCGUCUCUUUCUCUGCCCCACCGCCCGUCUCUUUCUGUCGUUUGGGGCGAAAGAGAACGCGUGCUUUUGUUUUCGAUUACGUUUACUACAUUUUUUAUACGCCCCGUAGAAAAACAUGACGAAAUGUUGUUGUUGAAAACGAGAAAUAAAUACAAGUGAUUCAAAAUAUAAAAAAUAAACGAAACAACGAAAAUAAUAAAGAGAAAUUACACAUCUGAUCUAUACGAGAAGAAAAGAAAAGUUCUGUGCAGCAAUAUACGAAAGCGAAAUUCCAUUUGGUGUAUAAGGAAUCUCCGAUGAUGGUGUUGUGAAAUCAAAAAGUAAAGAAACCCCAAAGCUACAGAUACUCUCUUCGCGAGCGGCAGCUGCAAACGCAUCCAAGAAGUGUGGGACAUUCGCCAAGAUAUUUUGCAUGAAAAUUGCAGCAAAAAAAGGUAAAUUAUGCAAAUAUGUUGAACCGUUUUGCCUUUUGCGGUGCAGAUCGCGUGCUUAGAUACGUGCCCGCUGGUGUGAGUAUGAAUACAUAUAGUACUCCAAUAGCCAUCCAGCUGAACGUGCCAAAAUGUUGACAUUUAUUGCGACUGAGCCACUCAAACGGGGUUGGGCUCCGCUUGCCUCAUUACUGUUAGACCAACAAGAUCAGUUCGGCGACAGGGCUUGAAAAAUAAUUGUUGGCUGC